RNAcentral lists this ribosomal RNA (458 nucleotides) under uncultured bacterium. RNAcentral describes it as "bacterial SSU rRNA". It matches the Rfam family "Bacterial small subunit ribosomal RNA", at positions 346 to 796 of the family's 1533-position model. The record is from RNAcentral.
AGGCAGCAGUUGGGAAUCUUCCGCAAUGGGCGAAAGUCUGACGGAGCAACGCCGCGUGAGCGAAGAAGGCCUUCGGGUCGUAAAGCUCUGUUGUUAGGGAAGAACAAGUAACGCAGUAACUGGCGUUACCGUGACGGUACCUAACGAGAAAGCCACGGCUAACUACGUGCCAGCAGCCGCGGUAAUACGUAGGUGGCAAGCGUUGUCCGGAAUUAUUGGGCGUAAAGCGCGCGCAGGCGGUUCCUUAAGUCUGAUGUGAAAGCCCACGGCUCAACCGUGGAGGGUCAUUGGAAACUGGGGGACUUGAGUGCAGAAGAGGAGAGCGGAAUUCCACGUGUAGCGGUGAAAUGCGUAGAGAUGUGGAGGAACACCAGUGGCGAAGGCGGCUCUCCGGUCUGUAACUGACGCUGAGGCGCGAAAGCGUGGGGAGCAAACAGGAUUAGAUACCCUAGUAGUCC